This 73-nucleotide transfer RNA is filed under the name Alosa alosa (allis shad). RNAcentral's name for it is "tRNA-Val". It matches the Rfam family "tRNA". From Rfam's summary of the family: Transfer RNA (tRNA) molecules are approximately 80 nucleotides in length. Their secondary structure includes four short double-helical elements and three loops (D, anti-codon, and T loops). The record is from RNAcentral. Lineage: Eukaryota; Metazoa; Chordata; Actinopteri; Clupeiformes; Clupeidae.
GUUUCCAUAGUGUAGUGGUUAUCACGUUCUCCUCACACGCGAAAGGUCCCCAGUUCGAAACUGGGUGGAAACA